RNAcentral lists this ribosomal RNA (468 nucleotides) under uncultured bacterium. RNAcentral's name for it is "partial 16S ribosomal RNA". It matches the Rfam family "Bacterial small subunit ribosomal RNA", at positions 28 to 507 of the family's 1533-position model. The record is from RNAcentral.
GACGAACGCUGGCGGCGUGCUUAACACAUGCAAGUCGAACGGAAAGGCCCUGCUUUUGUGGGGUACUCGAGUGGCGAACGGGUGAGUAACACGUGAGUAACCUGCCCUUGACUUUGGGAUAACUUCAGGAAACUGGGGCUAAUACCGGAUAGGAGCUCCUGCUGCAUGGUGGGGGUUGGAAAGUUUCGGCGGUUGGGGAUGGACUCGCGGCUUAUCAGCUUGUUGGUGGGGUAGUGGCUUACCAAGGCUUGGACGGGUAGCCGGCCUGAGAGGGUGACCGGCCACAUUGGGACUGAGAUACGGCCCAGACUCCUACGGGAGGCAGCAGUGGGGAAUAUUGCACAAUGGGCGGAAGCCUGAUGCAGCAACGCCGCGUGCGGGAUGACGGCCUUCGGUUUGUAAACUGCUUUCGCCUGUGACGAAGCGUGAGUGACGGUAAUGGGUAAAGAAGCACCGGCUAACUACGUG